AAGACCUCGCGCUAUUAGAGCGGCCGAUGCCCGAUUAGCUAGUUGGUGAGGUAAUGGCCCACCAAGGCAACGAUCGGUAGCUGGUCUGAGAGGAUGAUCAGCCACACUGGGACUGAGACACGGCCCAGACUCCUACGGGAGGCAGCAGUGGGGAACUUUGGACAAUGGGCGAAAGCCUGAUCCAGCCAUGCCGCGUGAGUGAAGAAGGCCUUCGGGUUGUAAAGCUCUUUCAGCCGGAACGAAAUCGUCCGGGCUAAUACUCCGGAUGGAUGACGGUACUGGAAGAAGAAGCACCGGCUAACUACGUGCCAGCAGCCGCGGUAAUACGUAGGGUGCAGGCGUUAAUCGGAAUUACUGGGCGUAAAGCGUGCGCAGGCGGCUUUCCAAGUCAGAUGUGAAAUCCCCGGGCUUAACCUGGGAACU
Molecule: ribosomal RNA, 423 nt
Filed under: uncultured bacterium
Lineage: Bacteria
Description: bacterial SSU rRNA
Rfam family: Bacterial small subunit ribosomal RNA
Source: RNAcentral